UACGUAGGGUGCGAGCGUUGCCCGGAUUUAUUGGGCGUAAAGGGCGCGUAGGCGGUCACGCACGUCCGUUGUGAAAUCGCUCGGCUCAACUGGGCGGGGUCAGCGGAUACGGUGUGACUGGAGCAAGCUAGGGGGCAAUGGAAUUCCCGGUGUAGUGGUGGAAUGCGUAGAUAUCGGGAGGAACACCAGUGGCGAAGGCGGUUGCCUGGAGCUUUGCUGACGCUGAUGCGCGAAAGCGUGGGGAGCGAUCUGG
This 253-nucleotide ribosomal RNA is filed under the name uncultured bacterium. RNAcentral's name for it is "partial 16S ribosomal RNA". It matches the Rfam family "Bacterial small subunit ribosomal RNA", at positions 524 to 776 of the family's 1533-position model. The record is from RNAcentral.